Molecule: long non-coding RNA, 363 nt
Filed under: Gossypium barbadense (sea-island cotton)
Lineage: Eukaryota; Viridiplantae; Streptophyta; Magnoliopsida; Malvales; Malvaceae
Description: long non-coding RNA (GBAR_LNC001242)
Source: RNAcentral
GCUUAAAAGUGAUAUGAAAUUUGCAGGGAACAAUAAAAUGAAAACGAAUGUUUAUGAUUAAAAACCCAAAGCAGAGCUCAUCAUAAAAGCCCAAAACCAACAAAAAAUCUCAGACUUACAACAGAGUAUGAAAUUGAAAUACUAGAGGCGGAUGGUGGUAGUACAAGUUGAUGAUGGUUUUAGGGAAUUGAUGAGGGAAUGGAGCAUCAUCUUCUUCACAGAUCUCUUCUUCUUUGGAAAUAGGCCUCCACACAUUGGCUUCCAAUUCAUGAUUUGUUGGGCAGGAUUCACUCCCUCUAGGAAAACCUUCAUCUCUCAAUUUUACUAACAAAUCAAUUGAAGUAAAUGAUACAUAAGUAAGCC